This 402-nucleotide ribosomal RNA is filed under the name uncultured Skermanella sp. Its description in RNAcentral is "bacterial SSU rRNA". It matches the Rfam family "Bacterial small subunit ribosomal RNA", at positions 355 to 774 of the family's 1533-position model. Lineage: Bacteria; Pseudomonadati; Pseudomonadota; Alphaproteobacteria; Rhodospirillales; Azospirillaceae. The record is from RNAcentral.
UGGGGAAUAUUGGACAAUGGGCGCAAGCCUGAUCCAGCAAUGCCGCGUGAGUGAUGAAGGCCUUCGGGUUGUAAAGCUCUUUCGCACGCGACGAUGAUGACGGUAGCGUGAGAAGAAGCCCCGGCUAACUUCGUGCCAGCAGCCGCGGUAAUACGAAGGGGGCUAGCGUUGUUCGGAAUUACUGGGCGUAAAGGGCGCGUAGGCGGUACUUCAAGUCAGGCGUGAAAGCCCCGGGCUCAACCUGGGAACCGCGCUUGAGACUGGAGAACUAGAGUUCGGGAGAGGAUGGUGGAAUUCCCAGUGUAGAGGUGAAAUUCGUAGAUAUUGGGAAGAACACCGAUGGCGAAGGCAGCCAUCUGGACCGACACUGACGCUGAGGCGCGAAAGCGUGGGGAGCAAACA